This 484-nucleotide ribosomal RNA is filed under the name uncultured bacterium. RNAcentral describes it as "partial 16S ribosomal RNA". It matches the Rfam family "Bacterial small subunit ribosomal RNA", at positions 30 to 507 of the family's 1533-position model. The record is from RNAcentral.
AUUGAACGCUGGCGGCAGGCCUAACACAUGCAAGUCGAGCGGAUGAAGGGAGCUUGCUCCUGGAUUCAGCGGCGGACGGGUGAGUAAUGCCUAGGAAUCUGCCUGGUAGUGGGGGAUAACGUCCGGAAACGGGCGCUAAUACCGCAUACGUCCUGAGGGAGAAAGUGGGGGAUCUUCGCACCUCACGCUAUCAGAUGAGCCUAGGUCGGAUUAGCUAGUUGGUGGGGUAAAGGCCUACCAAGGCGACGAUCCGUAACUGGUCUGAGAGGAUGAUCAGUCACACUGGAACUGAGACACGGUCCAGACUCCUACGGGAGGCAGCAGUGGGGAAUAUUGGACAAUGGGCGAAAGCCUGAUCCAGCCAUGCCGCGUGUGUGAAGAAGGUCUUCGGAUUGUAAAGCACUUUAAGUUGGGAGGAAGGGCAGUAAGUUAAUACCUUGCUGUUUUGACGUUACCAAAAGAAUAAGCACCGGCUAACUUCGUG